Molecule: ribosomal RNA, 406 nt
Filed under: uncultured bacterium
Lineage: Bacteria
Description: partial 16S ribosomal RNA
Rfam family: Bacterial small subunit ribosomal RNA
Source: RNAcentral
GACGAACGCUGGCGGCGUGCCUAAUACAUGCAAGUAGAACGAGUUGCGAACGGGUGAGUAACGCGUGGUAACCUGCCUCAUAGCGGUGGAUCACUAUUGGAAACGAUAGCUAAUACCGCAUACUGUGAGAUGGACCUGCGUUGUAUUAGCUAGUUGGUGAGGUAAAGGCUCACCUAGGCGACGAUCCCUAGCGGGUCUGAGAGGAUGACCAGCAACACUGGAACUGAGACACGGUCCAGACUCCUACGGGAGGCAGCAGUGGGGAAUAUUGCACAAGGGGCGAAAGCCUGAUGCAGCCAUGCCGAGUGUAUGAAGAAGGCCUUCGGGUUGUAAAGUACUUUCAGCGGGGAGGCGUUACCCGCAGAAGAAGCACCGGCUAACUCCGUGCCAGCAGCCGCGGUAAUUC